This is a small nuclear RNA of Chelonoidis abingdonii (Abingdon island giant tortoise), 167 nucleotides long. Its record names the gene U2. It matches the Rfam family "U2 spliceosomal RNA". Rfam says of the family: U2 is a small nuclear RNA (snRNA) component of the spliceosome (involved in pre-mRNA splicing). Complementary binding between U2 snRNA (in an area lying towards the 5' end but 3' to hairpin I) and the branchpoint sequence (BPS) of the intron results the bulging out of an unpaired adenosine, on the BPS, which initiates a nucleophilic attack at the intronic 5' splice site, thus starting the first of two transesterification reactions that mediate splicing. The record is from Ensembl. NCBI's taxonomy places the organism in Eukaryota, Metazoa, Chordata, Testudines, Testudinidae.
AUCACUCCUUGGCCUUUUGACUAAGAUCAAGUACAGCAUCUAUUAUUAUCGGUUUAAUGUCUGAUGCAUAUCUGUCUGGGGAUUAUGUAUUAAAUGGGUUUUUGGAACUAGAAGAUGGUCUAACAGCUUGCUCCUUCCUUUCCAAAAAGUGUGUCCAGGAACUCCUU